Molecule: ribosomal RNA, 451 nt
Filed under: uncultured bacterium
Lineage: Bacteria
Description: partial 16S ribosomal RNA
Rfam family: Bacterial small subunit ribosomal RNA
Source: RNAcentral
AACGAACGCUGGCGGCAGGCCUAACACAUGCAAGUCGAACGGACGUAGCAAUACGUUAGUGGCUCACGGGAGAGUAACGCGUGGGAACCUACCUUUUGGUUCGGGAUAACAUCGGGAAACUGGUGCUAAUACCGGAUAAGCCCUUCGGGGGAAAGAUUUAUUGCCGAAAGAUGGGCCCGCGUUGGAUUAGCUAGUUGGUGAGGUAAUGGCUCACCAAGGCAACGAUCCAUAGCUGGUCUGAGAGGAUGAUCAGCCUCACUGGGACUGAGACACGGCCCAGACUCCUACGGGAGGCAGCAGUGGGGAAUAUUGGACAAUGGGGGAAACCCUGAUCCAGCCAUGCCGCGUGAAUGAUGAAGGCCUUCGGGUUGUAAAGUUCUUUUGGUGGGGACGAUGAUGACGGUACCCACAGAAUAAGCUCCGGCUAACUUCGUGCCAGCCGCCGCAGUAA